This 423-nucleotide long non-coding RNA is filed under the name Gallus gallus (chicken). Lineage: Eukaryota; Metazoa; Chordata; Aves; Galliformes; Phasianidae. The record is from RNAcentral.
CUGUAAGCCCCGCUUCCUCUUGGAUGCCAGCUCCUCCUCCAGCUUACUCACCUUACUCUUCUCUUUUUCCAAUUUCAAGCUCAGUUCUGCCGUCUUCUGACUCUCUUCUGCUGCUUUGGCAGUGGCUUUCUUGCACUCUACAACAAGCAUGGAGGACAGCUGCUUGUGGCGUGCCCUCUCCUCCUCCAACUGGCUCGAGAGCUUCUUCUGUUCUUUCUCAAACUUUUUCACCUGGGAUUUUUCAAACUCCAGCUGCUGGGUGAGCCGCUCCCGCUCCUUCUCCAGCAUGUAGGUGACAUCAUCCCCCUCUGCUGUGUCCUGGGCAUGCCGCUGCCUCUCCUCCUCCAGGUCCAGGAUCACCUUUCUGUGCCUGCUUUCUGCAGCAGCUAGUUGGGAUAACAUUCUUUCCUGCAUAUUCUUGCA